UACGAAGGGGGCUAGCGUUGCUCGGAAUUACUGGGCGUAAAGGGAGCGUAGGCGGACAUUUAAGUCAGGGGUGAAAUCCCGAGGCUCAACCUCGGAACUGCCUUUGAUACUGGAUGUCUUGAGUGUGAGAGAGGUGAGUGGAACUCCGAGUGUAGAGGUGAAAUUCGUAGAUAUUCGGAAGAACACCAGUGGCGAAGGCGGCUCACUGGUCCAUUACUGACGCUGAGGUGCGAAAGCGUGGGGAGCAAACAGG
This 253-nucleotide ribosomal RNA is filed under the name uncultured bacterium. RNAcentral's name for it is "partial 16S ribosomal RNA". It matches the Rfam family "Bacterial small subunit ribosomal RNA", at positions 524 to 776 of the family's 1533-position model. The record is from RNAcentral.